AGAGUUUGAUCCUGGCUCAGGAUGAACGCUGGCGGCGUGCUUAACACAUGCAAGUCGAACGAACCUUCGGGUUAGUGGCGGACGGGUGAGUAACGCGUGGGAAUCUGCCCUCAGGAGGGGGAUAACGGCCGGAAACGGCCGCUAAUACCCCAUAUGCCGAGAGGUGAAAUGAAUUUCGCCUGAGGAUGAGCCCGCGUCUGAUUAGCUAGUUGGUGAGGUAAGAGCUCACCAAGGCAUCGAUCAGUAGCUGGUCUGAGAGGAUGAUCAGCCACACUGGGACUGAGACACGGCCCAGACUCCUACGGGAGGCAGCAGUGGGGAAUUUUCCGCAAUGGGCGAAAGCCUGACGGAGCAACGCCGCGUGAGGGAUGAAGGCCUCUGGGCUGUAAACCUCUUUUAUCAAGGAAGAAGAUCUGACGGUACUUGAUGAAUAAGCCACGGCUAAUUCCGUGCCAGCAGCCGCGGUAAUACGGGAGUGGCAAGCGUUAUCCGGAAUUAUUGGGCGUAAAGCGUCCGCAGGCGGCCCUUCAAGUCUGCUGUUAAAAAGUGGAGCUUAACUCCAUCAUGGCAGUGGAAACUGAGGGGCUUGAGUGUGGUAGGGGCAGAGGGAAUUCCCGGUGUAGCGGUGAAAUGCGUAGAUAUCGGGAAGAACACCAGUGGCGAAGGCGCUCUGCUGGGCCAUCACUGACGCUCAUGGACGAAAGCCAGGGGAGCGAAAGGGAUUAGAUACCCCUGUAGUCCUGGCCGUAAACGAUGAACACUAGGUGUCGGGGGAAUCGACCCCCUCGGUGUCGUAGCCAACGCGUUAAGUGUUCCGCCUGGGGAGUACGCACGCAAGUGUGAAACUCAAAGGAAUUGACGGGGGCCCGCACAAGCGGUGGAGUAUGUGGUUUAAUUCGAUGCAACGCGAAGAACCUUACCAGGGUUUGACAUCCUGCGAAUCUCUUGGAAACGAGAGAGUGCCUUCGGGAGCGCAGUGACAGGUGGUGCAUGGCUGUCGUCAGCUCGUGUCGUGAGAUGUUGGGUUAAGUCCCGCAACGAGCGCAACCCACGUCUUUAGUUGCCAGCAUUUAGUUGGGCACUCUAGAGAGACCGCCGGUGAUAAACCGGAGGAAGGUGUGGAUGACGUCAAGUCAUCAUGCCCCUUACAUCCUGGGCUACACACGUACUACAAUGCUACGGACAAAGGGCAGCAAGUUCGCGAGGACAAGCAAAUCCCAUAAACCGUGGCUCAGUUCAGAUCGUAGGCUGCAACUCGCCUACGUGAAGGAGGAAUCGCUAGUAAUCGCAGGUCAGCAUACUGCGGUGAAUACGUUCCCGGGCCUUGUACACACCGCCCGUCACACCAUGGAAGUUGGCCACGCCCGAAGCCGUUACUCCAACCCUUGUGGAGGAGGACGUCGAAGGUGGGGCUGAUGACUGGGGUGAAGUCGUAACAAGGUAACC
Molecule: ribosomal RNA, 1446 nt
Filed under: uncultured cyanobacterium
Lineage: Bacteria; Bacillati; Cyanobacteriota
Description: bacterial SSU rRNA
Rfam family: Bacterial small subunit ribosomal RNA
Source: RNAcentral